GACGAACGCUGGCGGCGUGCUUAACACAUGCAAGUCGAACGGAAAGGCCCUGCUUUUGUGGGGUGCUCGAGUGGCGAACGGGUGAGUAACACGUGAGUAACCUGCCCUUGACUUUGGGAUAACUUCAGGAAACUGGGGCUAAUACCGGAUAGGAGCUCCUGCUGCAUGGUGGGGGUUGGAAAGUUUCGGCGGUUGGGGAUGGACUCGCGGCUUAUCAGCUUGUUGGUGGGGUAGUGGCUUACCAAGGCUUUGACGGGUAGCCGGCCUGAGAGGGUGACCGGCCACAUGGGGCCUGAGAUACGGCCCAGACUCCUACGGGAGGCAGCAGUGGGGAAUAUUGCACAAUGGGGCGAAGCCUGAUGCAGCAACGCCGCGGGCGGGAUGACGGCCUUCGGGUUGUAAACCGCUUUCGCCUGUGACGAAGCGUGAGUGACGGUACUGGGUGAAGAAGCACCGGCUAACUACGUG
This 468-nucleotide ribosomal RNA is filed under the name uncultured bacterium. Its description in RNAcentral is "partial 16S ribosomal RNA". It matches the Rfam family "Bacterial small subunit ribosomal RNA", at positions 28 to 507 of the family's 1533-position model. The record is from RNAcentral.